RNAcentral lists this long non-coding RNA (338 nucleotides) under Homo sapiens (human). Its description in RNAcentral is "non-protein coding lnc-COG6-2:1". The record is from RNAcentral. Lineage: Eukaryota; Metazoa; Chordata; Mammalia; Primates; Hominidae.
GUUCUUCUAUCAGUGCACACCCAGAGACCCUCCUCUUCCAUAUAAAAUUAAAUAUAGACAUCAAGAUCUAAAUGUAUCAGUGGGUGCACAAAAGGACCCCAGGAGGGGGAAAUGGAGAAAAUUUCAGGUGCUUAUGCCUUCACGCACCCUUUUCUCUGCCAUCCUGCCCUCGUCUUCACUGUCUGCCCACUGAGACCUGGGGUCACUGCUCACUUUCAGACAGGAAAUUGAAAGACCUUUGCAAACACUUGGUCCCAUCCCUCUCAACUUCCAUUUCCUAAUCCCCAAAGGCCAACGUGGAAAUAAAAAGAUGCUUUCAUGUUGAAGGCACCUGGGAA